Molecule: non-coding RNA, 142 nt
Filed under: Flexilinea flocculi
Lineage: Bacteria; Bacillati; Chloroflexota; Anaerolineae; Anaerolineales; Anaerolineaceae
Also listed under: 1 other name
Source: RNAcentral
UAUAAUGAAAGCAGUUGAGGUGACCCGCAGGCACGGAAGCCAGGGCAUAAAGGUGGAAGCUGGUGAGAGUCCAGCGCUGUACCGCAACUGUAAGUCAGUCCGUUUGACAAGUCAGGAAGCCUGCCUCAGCAUAUUACAUCUA